CUUUAUGGGGUGAUAUAAAGUCGUGCCUGCUCACUGAAUUUAAUUGAAGAGCCGCGGUAUUCUGACCGUGCAAAGGUAGCAUAAUCAUUAGCUUUUUAAUUGAGGGCUGGAAUGAAUGGUUUGACGAAGCAAAAGCUGUCUUUUAUAUAUUGAUUGAAUUUUACUUUUAAGUUAAAAGGCUUAAAUUAGGAAUGGGGACGAGAAGACCCUAUAGAUCUUUACUGAUGAAAUUUUAUGAAUAAUUUAGUUGUGGAUUUUUUAUGAAGUUUUAUGAGUUUUGUUGGGGUGAUGAGAGAAUAAAAGUAACUUCUCUGAAUGUUACUUUGAUGUAUGGUUAAGGGAUCCUUUAUUAUGGAUAUAAGAUUAAGAUACCUUAGGGAUAACAGCGUUAUUUUAUUUGAGAGUUCUUAUCGACAAUAAAGAUUGCGACCUCGAUGUUGGAUUAAGAUUAUCGAUUGGUGUAGUGGCUAAUGUGAAUUGGUCUGUUC
This 488-nucleotide ribosomal RNA is filed under the name Gryllomorpha dalmatina. RNAcentral's name for it is "partial 16S ribosomal RNA". It matches the Rfam family "Bacterial large subunit ribosomal RNA", at positions 1831 to 2582 of the family's 2925-position model. The record is from RNAcentral. Lineage: Eukaryota; Metazoa; Arthropoda; Insecta; Orthoptera; Gryllidae.